This 76-nucleotide transfer RNA is filed under the name Desulfotalea sp. RNAcentral's name for it is "tRNA-Arg". It matches the Rfam family "tRNA". Rfam says of the family: Transfer RNA (tRNA) molecules are approximately 80 nucleotides in length. The record is from RNAcentral. Lineage: Bacteria; Pseudomonadati; Thermodesulfobacteriota; Desulfobulbia; Desulfobulbales; Desulfocapsaceae.
AUCCCCGUAGCUCAGUGGAUAGAGCACAGGAUUCCUAAUCCUGGUGUCGGCGGUCCGAUUCCGCCCGGGGAUACCA